UAGGGAAUCUUCGGCAAUGGACGAAAGUCUGACCGAGCAACGCCGCGUGAGUGAAGAAGGUUUUCGGAUCGUAAAACUCUGUUGUUAGAGAAGAACAAGGACGUUAGUAACUGAACGUCCCCUGACGGUAUCUAACCAGAAAGCCACGGCUAACUACGUGCCAGCAGCCGCGGUAAUACGUAGGUGGCAAGCGUUGUCCGGAUUUAUUGGGCGUAAAGCGAGCGCAGGCGGUUUCUUAAGUCUGAUGUGAAAGCCCCCGGCUCAACCGGGGAGGGUCAUUGGAAACUGGGGGACUUGAGUGCAGAAGAGGAGAGUGGAAUUCCAUGUGUAGCGGUGAAAUGCGUAGAUAUAUGGAGGAACACCAGUGGCGAAGGCGGCUCUCUGGUCUGUAACUGACGCUGAGGCACGAAAGCGUGGGGAGCAAACAGG
Molecule: ribosomal RNA, 429 nt
Filed under: Gemmatimonadota bacterium
Lineage: Bacteria; Pseudomonadati; Gemmatimonadota
Description: Gemmatimonadetes bacterium partial 16S ribosomal RNA
Rfam family: Bacterial small subunit ribosomal RNA
Source: RNAcentral